UUUCCGUAGGUGAACCUGCGGAAGGAUCAUUACUGAGUGAGGGCCCUCUGGGUCCAACCUCCCACCCGUGUUCAUUAUACCUUGUUGCUUCGGUGAGCCCGCCUCACGGCCGCCGGGGGGCAUCUGCCCCCGGGCCCGCGCCCACCGAAGACACCUAGAACUCUGUAUGAAGAUUGCAGUCUGAGCAAAAACUAAAUAAGUUAAAACUUUCAACAACGGAUCUCUUGGUUCCG
Molecule: unclassified non-coding RNA, 233 nt
Filed under: plant metagenome
Description: partial contains small subunit ribosomal RNA, internal transcribed spacer 1, and 5.8S ribosomal RNA
Source: RNAcentral